Molecule: ribosomal RNA, 460 nt
Filed under: uncultured bacterium
Lineage: Bacteria
Description: partial 16S ribosomal RNA
Rfam family: Bacterial small subunit ribosomal RNA
Source: RNAcentral
CCUAGGGGAGGCAGCAGUGAGGAAUAUUGGUCAAUGGGCGAGAGCCUGAACCAGCCAAGUCGCGUGAAGGAUGACGGCCCUACGGGUUGUAAACUUCUUUUGUCAGGGAGCAAAUGGGUCCACGCGUGGGCUUAGAGAGAGUACCUGAAGAAAAAGCAACGGCUAACUCCGUGCCAGCAGCCGCGGUAAUACAGAGGAAGCGAGCGUUAUCCGGAUUUAAUGGGUGUAAAGAGUGCGUAGGCGGAAUAUUAAGUCAGCGGUAAAAAAUCGGGGCUCAACCCCGUCGUGCCGUUGAAACUGGUGUUCUUGAGUGGGCGAGAAGUAUGCGGAAUUCGUGGUGUAGCGGUGAAAUGCAUAGAUAUCUCGAAGAACUCCGAUUGCGAAGGCAGCAUACCGGCGCCAAACUGACGCUGAAGGACGAAAGCGUGGGUAUCGAACAGGAUUAGAUACCCUUGUAGUC